CCAAGGAGGGGGCCCAGAGAAAGCCAAAAUGCACCAGAAGAGGAAAGAAGCAAAAGAUCCAGCCCUCUGCAUGGAAGACAUGAUAUCCUGUCCUCAGCACAGGCAUGGUUGACCGCAGGAAGACUGACCCACGAUCUAGAGGAACAGACGUGUGACCCAGGAGCAAGAUCUGUAUUUCCUGUUCUACAACAAGAUGCUCUGUUGGCUUAGAAGUUUGGGUUCUCGAGCAGGAAUUGCUUGAGCAGAAGUCACAACAGUGAUCCCAUUGAACUGGAAGUUAAGACUUUCCUCUAGCCACUUCUGGAUUCUCAAGCCCCCGAGUCAACAUGAUGAGAAAGAAGUUAUAGUAUUCAUAGGUAUGACUGGUCUGGGCUUCCAGAGUGAAACUGCAUGAUCAAUCCACAACAGAUAGAGGACAAGCACGUGUGUGGUGCAGCAGAUCCCUUAGUUCACCCCUCAGUAUUACCAUGCUAAAGUCGGUGGGAAAUGGCAGCAGCCUCAUCUAGGCAGGAUGAUCAAUGGACUUGCCAAGAAUGAAGGUGUGAUUCAUUGCUCCAAGCAAAGACCCAAGACCUGCUGAAGUGCUUGCUGAGGGUAUGUCAUGGUUUGUUGUUAUUCUUGCUGUUGUUUUGUCAACCUGACACGAACUACAGUCAUUGGAGAGGAAGCGACUUCAGUUGAUAAAAUGCCUCACCAGAUUGGUCUGUUGGGUGUGGGCAAGCCUGUGAGGCAUGUUCUUGAUUAAUAAUUGCCAUGAGAGGCUUCAGCUCUUUGUGUGGCACUCCCCCUGGGCAAGGAGUCCUGAGUUGCAUAAGA
This is a long non-coding RNA of Onychomys torridus (southern grasshopper mouse), 816 nucleotides long. RefSeq lists it as uncharacterized. The record is from RefSeq and is a predicted model, not a curated record. NCBI's taxonomy places the organism in Eukaryota, Metazoa, Chordata, Mammalia, Rodentia, Cricetidae. The transcript has 3 exons.